This 202-nucleotide ribosomal RNA is filed under the name thelephoroid fungal sp. 8-MR/942C2R. Its description in RNAcentral is "partial ribosomal RNA large subunit". It matches the Rfam family "Bacterial large subunit ribosomal RNA", at positions 1783 to 1989 of the family's 2925-position model. Lineage: Eukaryota; Fungi; Basidiomycota; Agaricomycetes; Thelephorales; Thelephoraceae. The record is from RNAcentral.
AAAAUCGGAGGCCACGACUGUUUACUAAAAACACAAUUCAGAGCAAUGAUGAAAAUCAUAGUAUUCUGGAUGAAAUUUGCCCGAUGCCAUUAACAUAAAAGAGGUAAUGGGAAACUGUUACUAAUUGAAAGUCUGGUUAAUAGCGGUCUUAACUAUGAGGAUCCUAAGGUAGCAAAAUAAAUUGGCCAUUAAAUGUGGUCUG